This 532-nucleotide ribosomal RNA is filed under the name Henriciella sp. Its description in RNAcentral is "bacterial SSU rRNA". It matches the Rfam family "Bacterial small subunit ribosomal RNA", at positions 1 to 589 of the family's 1533-position model. The record is from RNAcentral. Lineage: Bacteria; Pseudomonadati; Pseudomonadota; Alphaproteobacteria; Hyphomonadales; Hyphomonadaceae.
CAACCUGAGAGUUUGAUUCUGGCUCAGAACGAACGCUGGCGGCAGGCUUAACACAUGCAAGUCGAACGAUAUAGUGGCAGACGGGUGAGUAACGCGUGGGAACAUACCUUUCGGUUCGGAAUAGCCCCGGGAAACUGGGUGUAAUACCGGAUACGUCCUUAGGGAGAAAGAUUUAUCGCCGAAAGAUUGGCCCGCGUUAGAUUAGGUAGUUGGUGAGGUAAAGGCUCACCAAGGCGACGAUCUAUAGCUGGUCUGAGAGGAUGAUCAGCCACACUGGGACUGAGACACGGCCCAGACUCCUACGGGAGGCAGCAGUGGGGAAUAUUGCACAAUGGGCGCAAGCCUGAUGCAGCCAUGCCGCGUGAAUGAUGAAGGCCUUAGGGUUGUAAAAUUCUUUCGCCAGGGAUGAUAAUGACAGUACCUGGUAAAGAAGCCCCGGCUAACUUCGUGCCAGCAGCCGCGGUAAUACGAAGGGGGCUAGCGUUGUUCGGAAUUACUGGGCGUAAAGCGCACGUAGGCGGACUUUUAAGUC